CGUUCCCUACGGGGGGCAGCAGUGGGGAAUAUUGCACAAUGGGGGGAACCCUGAUGCAGCGACGCCGCGUGAGUGAAGAAGUAUUUCGGUACGUAAAGCUCUAUCAGCAGGGAAGAAAAAAGGACGGUACCUGACUAAGAAGCCCCGGCUAACUACGUGCCAGCAGCCGCGGUAAUACGUAGGGGGCAAGCGUUAUCCGGAUUUACUGGGUGUAAAGGGUGCGUAGGUGGCAGGGCAAGUCAGAUGUGAAAGCCCGGGGCCCAACCCCGGUACUGCAUUUGAAACUGUCCGGCUGGAGUGCAGGG
This 305-nucleotide ribosomal RNA is filed under the name uncultured bacterium. Its description in RNAcentral is "partial 16S ribosomal RNA". It matches the Rfam family "Bacterial small subunit ribosomal RNA", at positions 333 to 653 of the family's 1533-position model. The record is from RNAcentral.